GGAAGUAAAAGUCGUAGCAAGGUUUCCGUAGGUGAACCUGCGGAAGGAUCAUUAUUGUAUAACCGAGGUGCGAGGGCUGUCGCUGACCCGAAAGGUCGUGCACGCCCGAGUGCCCUCACACACAUCCAUCUCACCCCUAUGUGCACCACCGCGUGGGUCCCCCUUUGGCUUGUUCGGAGGGGGGCUUACGUUUUCACACAAACUUUGUAUGCAGUGUAGAAUGUAUUUUUUGUUUUUGCGAUCACGCAAUCAAUACGACUUUCAACAACGGAUCUCUUGGCUCUC
This 285-nucleotide unclassified non-coding RNA is filed under the name plant metagenome. RNAcentral describes it as "partial contains small subunit ribosomal RNA, internal transcribed spacer 1, and 5.8S ribosomal RNA". The stretch from base 1 to 54 matches the Rfam family "Eukaryotic small subunit ribosomal RNA", at positions 1778 to 1831 of the family's 1831-position model. The record is from RNAcentral.